This 209-nucleotide long non-coding RNA is filed under the name Lathyrus oleraceus (garden pea). RNAcentral's name for it is "Pisum sativum (pea) long non-coding RNA (PSAT_LNC002362)". Lineage: Eukaryota; Viridiplantae; Streptophyta; Magnoliopsida; Fabales; Fabaceae. The record is from RNAcentral.
UCAGCUUACUAGGACCCAAUGGUACAAGAAUAAUCUUUUGUCCAUGAUGAAUAAAAGAGUAUUUGUUGGUAUAACCUUCAUGACUAGUCUUUUUAUCAAAUUUCCAAGGCCUCCCUAACAACAAAUGACUAGCCUCCAUAGGUCCUACAUCAUACAACACCACAUCAUCAUACUUCCCAAUUCUAAGACAAACCUCAACUUGUUUAUUA